UUUUUUUAAACCGCGUAAAUUUGUAUGGGCCGCACAGCUUUAGCUGUACGGUCCUCAACAAAUUUCGCAUUAACUAGAAAACAAUAUCUAGCCAAAUUUAUCCAAAAUCCAACAUAAAAUUAAAUACACAAAUCAUAUCUGGGGAUCAUUUGAAUCCCUUUUGCUAAAUAAAAUUAAUUUGCUAAGGCAAGAGUAAAGUUGAAGGUAUAGUCUGAGCCUUAAUGAAAAUUAAGGAUUAACUUGGAAAGGCCAUUCUGACCUCGAGAUAGCUGAUAUUCCACGAAACAUUUUUUAGAAUGACACUUACGAUUAUUUUUUUUUUUCACAAGAUUUAUGCAGGUACAGCACUAGGAAUUCCAUACUCUGUGUUUCCAACACAGGUUAAAUUGGGGGGUGUUGCAACUCUACCAUUGGAAAUUAAUCUCGGAAUGACAUAAAUUGAUAGUAAGUAUUCAGACUGUUCAUGAUAAGGUGGGCAGUCAAAACGGAAACAGCCGUGAGCAUGUAUUAAGGUCCCAAAAUGAUUAUUAAGUGAAACAAAGGAAGUUACUCUCUAAAUACAGCUAUAAAGUGAGCUUGGCAGUCGCUAUCUUUUAAUGACCGUGUAACAACGCAGUAGUCUAAUGGAGUUUAGCACCGAAAAUUUAACGGGUCUAGAUAAUCUACCGAAAUCAUGCCGCUUCGACAUAUUGUGUCCCUGGUAGUAGUAUGAUAUGUCCAAGUUGGGUAGUGGAACAUUCAGAACGGAUGAAGAACAGUGUUUCAUUGUUUGGACGUAACUGAAGAGAUAAUGCUGACAUGAGUAACGUAGAAAGAAGUUAUAAUACUUCUCGCCGAAUACGAAAGGGUUGUCCGGUAAAGUUAAACUGCCGGACGUUAUAGCGGCCUCUAAGCUACAAGACCAAUGUUUUGUGUGAUGAGUUUUUCACAGAAAGUCUUUUAUUUUUAAUAAUAAUAGACCAGGAAAAUAAUGUGAAUGUUCUAUCGAACACUAACUACCGUACCCUAAACCGACACAGGUUCGUUGGUAGAGAAUACUAAGGCGUAGAGAUAAUGCUUGUAAAGGAACUCGGCAAGUUUUCCUCAUAAGUUUGGCAAUAAGAGGAGCCAUUUAACAUGUUAAAUGGUGUCACAUAAUCGGAGGCCACGACUGUUUAAUUAAAACACAGACAUCUGCUAUGAUUAAUUUAUUUGUAUAGGUGUUGAAUUUUGCCCCAUGCCAUCAACAUAAGGUCUGCGAGUUUAAAUAUGCGGAUUGAAAGUCUGGUUAAUGGCGGUCUUAACUAUAAGGAUCAGUUUCUAAUAUAACUUCCAUAUUAGGGUCCUUUUUAAAUUUAACUAUAUGCUGGAACAGCUUUUUAAUGGGUUGUUUUACAUUUGUUUUUUUAAAAAUU
This 1394-nucleotide non-coding RNA is filed under the name Rhizoctonia solani 123E. RNAcentral's name for it is "Bacterial large subunit ribosomal RNA". The stretch from base 141 to 1394 matches the Rfam family "Bacterial large subunit ribosomal RNA", at positions 1 to 2002 of the family's 2925-position model. Lineage: Eukaryota; Fungi; Basidiomycota; Agaricomycetes; Cantharellales; Ceratobasidiaceae. The record is from Rfam by way of RNAcentral.